This 72-nucleotide transfer RNA is filed under the name Ovis aries (sheep). It matches the Rfam family "tRNA". Rfam says of the family: Transfer RNA (tRNA) molecules are approximately 80 nucleotides in length. The record is from Rfam by way of RNAcentral. Lineage: Eukaryota; Metazoa; Chordata; Mammalia; Artiodactyla; Bovidae.
UCCCUCAUAGCUAAGUUGGUAAAGAAUCUGUCUGCAAUGCAGGAGACCCAGAUUCAAUCCCUGGGUCGGGAA